Molecule: ribosomal RNA, 449 nt
Filed under: uncultured bacterium
Lineage: Bacteria
Description: bacterial SSU rRNA
Rfam family: Bacterial small subunit ribosomal RNA
Source: RNAcentral
GACGAACGCUGGCGGCGUGCUUAACACAUGCAAGUCGAGCGAUGAAAUUCUCUUCGGAGAAUGGAUUAGCGGCGGACGGGUGAGUAACACGUGGGUAACCUGCCUUAUAGUGGGGGAUAGCCUUUCGAAAGGAAGAUUAAUACCGCAUAAUAUUGUAGUUUCACAUGAAACAACAAUUAAAGAUUUAUCGCUAUAAGAUGGACCCGCGGCGCAUUAGCUAGUUGGUGGGUAACGGCUACCAAGGCGACGAUGCGUAGCCGACCUGAGAGGGUGAUCGGCCACAUUGGGACUGAGACACGGCCCAGACUCCUACGGGAGGCAGCAGUGGGGAAUAUUGCACAAUGGGGGAAACCCUGAUGCAGCAACGCCGCGUGAGUGAUGACGGUCUUCGGAUUGUAAAGCUCUUUUGAGAGGGACGAGAGAUUACUUCAGGAAAUGGGAGUAAGAGG